RNAcentral lists this ribosomal RNA (362 nucleotides) under Neogonyleptes karschii. RNAcentral's name for it is "partial 16S ribosomal RNA". Lineage: Eukaryota; Metazoa; Arthropoda; Arachnida; Opiliones; Gonyleptidae. The record is from RNAcentral.
GCAUAAUCAAUAGUUUAUUGAUUGUAAACUGGGAUGAAGGGUAGAAACUGAUAGGAAGGUUUUAUUUAAUGAAUUUGAAUUUAAAUUAAAAGUAAAAAUGCUUUUAUGAAUUUUUGGGACGAGAAGACCCUAGAAGCUUUUGAAGUGGAAAAAUUUUUUUAUUGGGGUAAUAUAUGAAAAGAAAAAUUUUUAUUUGAGAACAAGGAGCCCUAUGAUUUAGGUUUGUUGUCUAAAUUAUAAAAUAUUUUGGGUUUAAUAAUUUACUAUAUGAGUUUUUGUAAGUUACUCUAGGGAUAACAGCGUUAUUUAAUUAACAAGUUCUUAUUAAUAAUUAGGAUUGCGACCUCGAUGUUGAAUUAAAU